GCCACGGCCUUUCACCCAGCCCAAAACAGGCCCUCGUGGACAUAAAACCCGACAGCUAACCCUAGCCUCCCUCCGUGCAGCACACCUUCCUUCUUCCUUCUAGCGCCGCCACCUCUCUUCGCCCUAGCGCCGCCGCAUCUCCACACCCAAGCACAGCCGGUGAGAGAGAGGAAUGGAAGGGAGCACCGCCACUACCCAGCACCGCCACCCCACCCUCCUCCCCAAAUCGCCGCCUCCUCCCGGCCUUCUCCUCCAGAUCUUCACGCGCGGCGCUGCGUAAGAGCGGGCACGCCGCAUUCUCCAUCGCUAGCACGCCGCCGCCCGACCUCGUCUCCUUGCUGACUGUAGAGAGAGAGGGGGGGAGGGAGGGAGGGAGAGGGAGAGAGAGAGAGAGGGGAGAAGCAAGAGGGGAUGGAGCAAAGAGAACAGGAGGCCUCCGUCGGCGGCAUGUUCUGCAGCUUUCGCGCAGAUCUGGCGGACCGACGACCCGGCGUCUCCGGCCGCGCUGCGUCAGGCCUCCCCAGAACUCGCGGCCCUCCGCUUGAGGUCGGCCCCACUGGCGGCUAGUUCUUGGUUCUUCUAUCUGCUGGCCGGCAGCUGUUCUUGCCUCCCUGUCAACAGCUGACCGAGUCAACACUGCUCAUGUGCUUAUAUGUCAUGCUGAAGGUUUUUCUCAAACCAGAUUGGUAAGAUGUCUUAGAUAUUCAAGGCAGCAAAUAAUAGCUCAAACAGAGGCAAUGGUUCAUGCUGACAUGUUGAGAUUCCAGCCAUAGGUAUGGCUAGUGUCCCCUUUGUUAAUGCUACUGUUUUAAAGCACAUUUCCUCUAACCUCAACUGUAUGAGUAAAGCACAUUUCAUCUUAGGACCACUGUCGAUGCACGUACCUUCACAGGAUUUAUUAUUUUCCCUUUUAUUUUUUGUCAACUGUGCUAAGCUGCAAGAACAUGAUAAAACCGUUUUUGCAGAACCAUCCAAUCUAGAGGUUGGCUCCUAUCUUUUGUUUCUCUCUAUUUUGUGCUCUGAUGAUCUAAUGUCUUUCUAAUUGCAAGAGCUUAUCUGGGUUAGAGACCUUGCUUGUGUGUUGGUAGGUAUAAAAUGCAUGGCCUCUUGGUUACAAUUCAUACUUGCGAUGAAAUGUUUGAUAUUUUGUUUUUUUGUUGGUUCACUACACAGGUGACGUAUUUUGAUUUUUCUUUUGGCUGGUACACUACACAGGUGCCAGAUUCUUUCAUAGUGAUGAGUUAUAUGUUAUAUCCUAGCUAAAUCUUUGAAUUGUUUCAAAACAAGAAGCUUUACAGUUCAACGGUAUGUAUUUUCUAAUCAUUUGUUUUGAAAACUUCAUCUUAAUGACCUUGUCCUGUACAACAACCAUGCAACUCGCAUAAGAUAUGUGUUGGGUAUCACUAUAUUGUAAAAUUGAAGAAUUUUCACAUCAAUAUCUUCUUUUUUUUUUCUUCCCUUCAUUUUAUCUCAUUUUCUCAGGUGAGAUAUGUUAAUAUUGUUAUCAGCAGGUAAUGGGUGUUUCUCUUACCCAAACACACAGGACUUUGAAGUGCACUCAAGCUUCUAGUUGACAGUUUGACAUAUCAAUAAGUCUGAUAACUAUGAAGUUUCAUGUUUACAGUGCAUAUACUUGUACCGUCCACACCAUGAUAUGAUAUUAUUCAGAUACUAUUGAUAAUAAAUGCUACUUCACUGUUGCCAAUGGGUCUAGAGGAUAGAGUUUCUAACUAUGCUGCAAGUUCUUUUUUUUUGCUUAAUGUUUCAAAAUCUUGAUUGCUCUAUCACUUUCCGUUGCUCUUUGUGGAUGCAACGUUGUUUUGGGCUACUUCCUUUUAGGUUCAUUCAGUAUAGAUGUCGGCUGCUUCUUAUUUUUGUUAUCCAAUAGAUUCAGCAUAAGAUGGAGUGCUUCUAUUGAGCAUCUCAAUUAUGGUUUACACUGGAGUCUAAGAGUUGCAUCUUUGCAGGUCUAUCUUAUUGGAGUCAGCGAUGCAAUCUGACCUGGAAUAGAAUGGAACUCGCAAGCUUUCCACCUGCCAGAGUCCUAUGAUAGGAGGAGAUGUUGCCCCCAUGACCUCUUCUUAUUUUGUAUUUGGGUUUAACCGAACAUUUGCUCAGUCCGAAUUCUGAACCUCUUUCCUUGACUGCUUGCUUGGUGGAUUCAAUUCUGUGAUGUAACAAUUUUUGUACAUAUAAAUAGAGGAAGGUACUGUGAUGUAUACGUGACAUUUCGUGUCCUUUUUUCUUUUCUUUUUUGUUUUUCAUUUUCAAUAUCAGAGACGGGGAUAUUGGAGAGACA
Molecule: long non-coding RNA, 2299 nt
Organism: Panicum hallii
Lineage: Eukaryota; Viridiplantae; Streptophyta; Magnoliopsida; Poales; Poaceae
Exons: 2
Source: RefSeq, a predicted model, not a curated record